RNAcentral lists this small RNA (672 nucleotides) under Burmannia bengkuluensis. RNAcentral describes it as "eukaryotic LSU rRNA". The stretch from base 304 to 459 matches the Rfam family "5.8S ribosomal RNA". Lineage: Eukaryota; Viridiplantae; Streptophyta; Magnoliopsida; Dioscoreales; Burmanniaceae. The record is from RNAcentral.
GAUCAUUCUUGAGAUAGUGAGGAUGAUUGACUUGAGAACUUAUAUAUAUAACAUCAUGUGGAGGAAUACAUGGCACGUCUGGAGUGCAUUCUCUUCGAUCGGUUUGUUUGUUCGAUGGGAAUUAGUCAAGCUGUCCCGACCUCGUGAAGGUUGUGUUUGGCAAACUAAAGAAAGUGGGCACGGUAGGUGUCAAGGGUAUAUAAUACAUCACUCACCCCGGCAGGGCUUCAACCGGGGAUUGCAAUUCAGGCUAUGUCCCGAAGCAUGCUUGCCAUGGGAUGGUUGUUUUACAUCAUGUGACAUGACUCUCGACAACGGAAAUUUAGGCUCUUGCAUCGAUGAAGAACGUAGCGAAAUGCGAUACUUGGUGUGAAUUGCAGAAUCCCGUGAACCAUCGAGCCUUUGAACGCAAGUUGCGCCUGAGACCUCUUGGUUGCGGGCACGCCCGCCUGGGUGUCACACCAUAUGUUGCUCCAUCCAGCCAAUCCAUGUGAUUUGUUAGAUGGAAGCGGAUACCGGUUCUCCGUCAUUUAGAGCCGUGGUGAGCUGAAGUAAGAGACGCCGACGGGGUAAGAGUAUAUAACAUGUGGCGGGCGGAAGAUUACUUCUUAUUUGGCCGAUGUCAUUCGCUCCUUGUCGAAUCAUUGCUCUUAGCAUGUUGAAGGGGCCCUU